AUGGGCGCAAGCCUGAUGCAGCGACGCCGCGUGAGGGAUGACGGCCUUCGGGUUGUAAACCUCUUUCAGUAGGGAAGAAGCGAAAGUGACGGUACCUGCAGAAGAAGCGCCGGCUAACUACGUGCCAGCAGCCGCGGUAAUACGUAGGGCGCAAGCGUUAUCCGGAAUUAUUGGGCGUAAAGAGCUCGUAGGCGGUUUGUCGCGUCUGCCGUGAAAGUCCGGGGCUCAACUCCGGAUCUGCGGUGGGUACGGGCAGACUAGAGUGAUGUAGGGGAGACUGGAAUUCCUGGUGUAGCGGUGAAAUGCGCAGAUAUCAGGAGGAACACCGAUGGCGAAGGCAGGUCUCUGGGCAUUAACUGACGCUGAGGAGCGAAAGCAUGGGGAGCGAACAGGAUUAGAUACCCUGGUAGUCCAUGCCGUAAACGUUGGGCACUAGGUGUGGGGGACAUUCCACGUUUUCCGCGCCGUAGCUAACGCAUUAAGUGCCCCGCCUGGGGAGUACGGCCGCAAGGCUAAAACUCAAAGGAAUUGACGGGGGCCCGCACAAGCGGCGGAGCAUGCGGAUUAAUUCGAUGCAACGCGAAGAACCUUACCAAGGCUUGACAUGGACCGGACCGCCGCAGAAAUGUGGUUUCCCCUUUGGGGCCGGUUUACAGGUGGUGCAUGGUUGUCGUCAGCUCGUGUCGUGAGAUGUUGGGUUAAGUCCCGCAACGAGCGCAACCCUCGUUCUAUGUUGCCAGCGGUUCGGCCGGGGACUCAUAGGAGACUGCCGGGGUCAACUCGGAGGAAGGUGGGGACGACGUCAAAUCAUCAUGCCCCUUAUGUCUUGGGCUUCACGCAUGCUACAAUGGCCGGUACAAAGGGUUGCGAUACUGUGAGGUGGAGCUAAUCCCAAAAAGCCGGUCUCAGUUCGGAUUGGGGUCUGCAACUCGACCCCAUGAAGUCGGAGUCGCUAGUAAUCGCAGAUCAGCAACGCUGCGGUGAAUACGUUCCCGGGCCUUGUACACACCGCCCGUCAAGUCACGAAAGUUGGUAACACCCGAAGCCGGUGGCCUAACCCCUUGUGGGAGGGAGCUGUCGAAGGUGGGACUGGCGAUUGGGACUAAGUCGUAACAAG
This 1117-nucleotide ribosomal RNA is filed under the name Arthrobacter sp. OTB104. RNAcentral's name for it is "bacterial SSU rRNA". It matches the Rfam family "Bacterial small subunit ribosomal RNA", at positions 371 to 1495 of the family's 1533-position model. The record is from RNAcentral. Lineage: Bacteria; Bacillati; Actinomycetota; Actinomycetes; Micrococcales; Micrococcaceae.